Molecule: long non-coding RNA, 2345 nt
Organism: Vulpes vulpes (red fox)
Lineage: Eukaryota; Metazoa; Chordata; Mammalia; Carnivora; Canidae
Source: Ensembl
CUGCAAUGCCUCUCCCCCAGAAUUUACCUGGGGCGGCAGCCAUCCUCAGUGUUUGGCCAGCUUGGCCUCUGCUGUCACAGCCUUGUUCUGUUAAAAUAAAUAUACUAAACUCACUCUCAGCAGGUUACGGUGGCUGUCCCUAAUGUGGCGAGUGGCUGUGCUCCGGUGAUAGCUGAGUGGACACACGGGUUUCAAUGCCUCAGUUGGGAGAAAUGAAGAAUAUGAGGACAGAGGAUAAAGAGAAUUUGGUUCCAUGACCUGAGAUGGUGGAGCUUAUCUCUGACAGUGGCGGCCCCGACAUCUAGUCUGAGGUCAAGUUAAAAAGGACUCGGGCCAGCACUAAGAAGCUUUGUUCAGUGGAAUUUGUCCUUUCCAGAUCUCUCACAGACAGGACCUGAGCUGACAAGUUCCCCCAGCCCAGUCUACGGGAGCCCAGGAGGAGACCUUUAGAGGAUCUGUUUGCUGACUUCCAUUUCACAUCUUGCAAGCAAUUCGUUUUUGUUAUAGUUUAUAAAAGCUUUGGUGAGCAAUGGUUUGGAAAGCAUUUUACCAAACGAGUCCUUCACCACGGAUGAUUUCAGCACCGAUCUCCAAAGGUGUCCCAUCUUUGAAAUGGAUAUUCCUUGGGAUAAGACAUGUGGGUAACACAAGCCACCCCGGUCUGCUGAGCCUGAUUUGGCAGCUGUGGUGGACGCCGUGCUCUCCUGGGCACCAUCUUCCCUGGUUGCUCCUCCUCCUGCCCUGGCUGCUGAUUUUUGCACAGACUCCGAUCCUGGGGAACCAGGUUGGGCAGGCACACUCUGCUCACAUCCAGUGACUGGUCCAGGGAGGAACAUGGGUCCCAAGCUGAUCUGCUCUAACUCUAGAACCUGGAACAUUAUCGACAUUUCCUAUAUCAAUAUCGCUGAAGAGAACCUCAAUGAAUAAUGAUGGUAGAGUAAUGGAGGAAGAUGAUCCAUUGCCACCAAAACAUGAGUUGCGACUGCAUCAACAGAAGCCACCUUUGCUCCAAACCCUGGGCUGAACCGCCAAAAUUUCCCAUUCUAGAGAAGCCAGCCUGCCCACCCCUGCCAGGGACUGAGGGAUAUUCAUGAAUGACUUGCUUCAAGGAGUAGCUUGUUCACUCAUUGUUCAUUGCACACUGCUGCAACAGGAACAGCUUUCUCAUGACCAAAUGUCAAAAGGAACCAAGACUACUCAUUUUCUAUUUGAACCUGGAGGUGAAGACUCCACCAUUUCCUCUACACAUUCCUUAUCAUUCUGGGAAAAGAGUAACUCAGGUUGCAUGAAAGCUCCUGCUCCCAAAGAACUGGAUGCAUCUUGGCAAUGACAACAAUACUAGUAAUCUCUUAUACUUGCAUAAGAUGCUUAGCCAUCAUUGUUUAAUCCUGACACUACCUAUGGGAGAGGUGUUAUUUUCUCACUUCUUAGAUAAAAACAUUGAGGCUCAAAAAGGUUAGGUAAGUUGUCAUGUAGGUAAAAUGGAGCUUGAUCUCAAACUCAGUCCCCUUGGGAGCUGUUUCCUAUGUCAGUAUUACUGAAAAGAAGAUUGAAUUCUACUGGCAAAACCGGUCACUGACAAGAAAAAUCCAUGACUGGGUGAUCUGGAAUUCAACUGGCAUCUGUUAGUUGAUCAGAGAGCUUGGUCAAGUAACAAAGAAUGGAUUUUAGACUCAGAUUUAAGACCUUACCUUGGAACACAUUUGGUUUUUUAUUUUAGGUAAGUCACUUCUCUUUGAGCCAUAGUUUUCUCUUCUCUAAAUGGGUUAUCAACACGUCUUCCAGAGUUGUUUGGGCAUUAACUUGCCCCAAGUCACACCAUUAGCAAAGGGCAAAGCCAGAACUUGAGCCCAGUCACUGAAGCUAAUAAUAGCAUUGAGAUAAUAGCAAUGAAAAUGAGACUGGACAUUCCCUAGUCAUUUGCUUUCUCAGCCUACCCAGUGAUUUGCCCACCCACUGUUAGAAAAAUGAGGGGAAAGGAGGGAAGGAAAAGAGAUUUGAUGUAAUGAGUCCUUGACCUUCAAGAAGGGGUUGAGUCUGAGCAUAGGGAAAGCAAAAGAUAGGAGCAGAGGCAGAGCAUUCACCCACAUUCAUCCUGGUAGAAAAUUUAGCUUGAGUAAUCCAGGACUUGAAUCUCUUCCUUCCAAAUAUAAAAGAAAAAACAUUUCAAGAUCCUUAACAUGACUAUCCCAUCCCCUCUACCAUUGCUUUUCAGUGCCCUCACUUAGUGGAAAAUAGAAAUCCUGUGGCUCCUUUUGAUUAUAGGCCAUGGAGACCCAGCUAAGGACAGGCAACUCUCCUCCUGCUGUUCCUGCUGGACAGCAAUAAACAGCCAAGCGUCCCCA